ACAAUGGCUCUUUUCAGGGCCACAUAAAAUACCAUAGCCCUCUUCAG
Molecule: non-coding RNA, 47 nt
Organism: Trachymyrmex septentrionalis
Lineage: Eukaryota; Metazoa; Arthropoda; Insecta; Hymenoptera; Formicidae
Source: Rfam